GUAAAUACCUUAACGAGGAACAAUUGGAGGGCAAGUCUGGUGCCAGCACGCCGCGGUAAUUCCAGCUCCAAUAGCGUAUGCUUAAAGUUUGUUGCUAAGUUAAAAGCUCGUAGUCGUAAUUUUUAAUUAUUUAUUUUUGUUUAAUUUGGAAUUUCUUUUCUAAAAAGAAAUUUCUUAUUAUGAUAAAUAAUAACAUUUUUGAUAAAUUUCUGAUAAUUUAUUAAUUUAAAUUAUUAUAAAAAUUCUUUAUUCGUAAAGAAUGAAAUUAUCAAUCUUUUACUGUGAAGAAACUUGAGUGUUCAAAGCAAGCUUUUAAAAUUCCGCUUGAAAAAUUCAGCAUGGGAUAAUGAAAUAAGCUAAAAAACGUAACCAUUUUUCGCCGAUUUUCGGUUUUAGAAAGCGUUUAAGAAUGAUUGAUAGGGGCG
RNAcentral lists this ribosomal RNA (425 nucleotides) under uncultured eukaryote. RNAcentral's name for it is "partial 18S ribosomal RNA". It matches the Rfam family "Eukaryotic small subunit ribosomal RNA", at positions 525 to 890 of the family's 1831-position model. The record is from RNAcentral.